UACGGGGGGGUGCGAGCGUUGUCCGGAAUCACUGGGCGUAAAGGGCGCGUAGGUGGUUUGAUAAGGGUGUGGUGAAAGUCCGGGGCUCAACCCCGGAUCUGCCGUGCCGACUGUCAAACUCGAGGACUGUAGAGGCAGACGGAAUUCCGGGUGUAGCGGUGGAAUGCGUAGAGAUCCGGAGGAAGACCGGUGGCGAAGGCGGUCUGCUGGGCAGUUUCUGGACACUUGAUGCGCGACAGCGUGGGGGAGCAAACAGGGAGUUAGAAAACCCGGAGUA
Molecule: ribosomal RNA, 277 nt
Filed under: uncultured bacterium
Lineage: Bacteria
Description: partial 16S ribosomal RNA
Rfam family: Bacterial small subunit ribosomal RNA
Source: RNAcentral